This 889-nucleotide long non-coding RNA is filed under the name Helianthus annuus (common sunflower). RNAcentral describes it as "hypothetical non coding rna". Lineage: Eukaryota; Viridiplantae; Streptophyta; Magnoliopsida; Asterales; Asteraceae. The record is from RNAcentral.
UUUCAUUUUUUUUCUCUCCAUUGCAGAUUUAUCAACUGACCUUUCUGCUACUUUAAUUUUAAGAUUUUUUUUUUUUUUUUUUUUUUUUUUUUUUUUUUGCAGUUUUGAUUGAUUAUUAAACAUUUUUGUUCAUAUUUUUUUUAUUCUUCUGGCUGGUUUGUAAAAUUAGUUAUUGUUGAUUAUUAAAUAAAUUAUGAAACUAGCUAAGGCAUUGAUGGUUAUUAUUGUUUCAUAGUUAUUAUUUAAGCUUUUUUAGUAAAGAACAUGCCUAUCUAUAUACACGCAUAUACUACACAUAUACACAUAGCUGUGGAUAUGUUGUGUAUCCAGGGGCGUACCCACCCUAAGUCAAGGGUGGGCGGGCGCACCCCAUGAAAAAUUAUUUAGUGUUAUUUUUCGUCGGAAAUCCUGACCGCACUCUUUGGAAUUUUUCACUCGCACCCCUUGAAAAUUUCCAACCGCCUCACUUAAAAAAAAUAUAAUUAUUAACCACUUAUUCACUUAAUUAUUUAAUCCAAUCAAAGCACAAUCUACAAUCCAUUUUUAUUAACACAAACCCAAACCCAACCUAAAGAAAUUUGAACUAAAUAAAAUAACCCAAACCCAUCCACCCAUUCCAUUUCCAAAUCUCGCCCCCCAAAAAAACUCCUAGCGACCUGAUGCCACUGCUCACGACCUGGUGAUUUUUUUACCGUAAAAACCAAAAUUCCGGUUGGACCGACCCAUAUUACGUCAGAAUUCCAAUAUAGAACUAGUAUGGAGAAAAUACAGAUGUGUAAGGGUUUAAUCUUUUUAUAUUUUUUUGCUGUUCUAGACUUGUAGUUAAAUGAUUUUGUUGUUUUAUAUAUAGCUUUUUUGUUUAAAUGAUUAGUUACAAGUAAUCAACAUU